Peromyscus leucopus (white-footed mouse) is the source of this 131-nucleotide small nuclear RNA. RefSeq annotates it as U11 spliceosomal RNA. The transcript has a single exon. Lineage: Eukaryota; Metazoa; Chordata; Mammalia; Rodentia; Cricetidae. The record is from RefSeq and is a predicted model, not a curated record.
AAAAAGGGCUUCUGUCAUGAGUGGCACACGAAGGUCAACUUGAUUGCUCUGCGUGCGGAAUCAACAAGAGAUUUCGGAAGCAUAAUUUCUUGGUAACUGGGCAGCUGGUGAUCAUUGGUCCCUGUGAGGGA